GGAUCAACACUUGGUACCGCUCUGACAUGCCUGGCAGUCAUGAGGUCGAGGGUUCGAACCCCUCCAGAUCCACCA
This 75-nucleotide transfer RNA is filed under the name Acidobacteriota bacterium. RNAcentral describes it as "Acidobacteria bacterium tRNA-Ala". The record is from RNAcentral. RNAcentral also lists the same sequence under 1 other name. Lineage: Bacteria; Pseudomonadati; Acidobacteriota.